Molecule: ribosomal RNA, 984 nt
Filed under: Solenopsis invicta (red fire ant)
Lineage: Eukaryota; Metazoa; Arthropoda; Insecta; Hymenoptera; Formicidae
Description: SSU rRNA
Rfam family: Eukaryotic small subunit ribosomal RNA
Source: RNAcentral
CCGAGGUAAUGAUUAAUAGGGACAGAUGGGGAAUUCGUAUUGCGACGUUAGAGGUGAAAUUCUUGGAUCGUCGCAAGACGGACAGAAGCGAAGGCAUUUGCCAAAAAUGUUUUCAUUAAUCAAGAACGAAAGUUAGAGUUUCGAAGGCGAUCAGAUACCGCCCUAGUUCUAACCAUAAACGAUGCCAGCUAGCGAUGCGCCGAAGUUCCUCCGAUGACUCGGCGGGCAGCUUCCGGGAAACCAAAGCUUUUGAGUUCCGGGGGAAGUAUGGUUGCAAAGCUGAAACUUAAAGGAAUUGACGGAAGGGCACCACCAGGAGUGGAGCCUGCGGCUUAAUUUGACUCAACACGGGAAACCUCACCAGGCCCAGACACCGGAAGGAUUGACAGAUUAAUAGCUCUUUCUUGAUUCGGUGGGUGGUGGUGCAUGGCCGUUCUUAGUUGGUGGAGCGAUUUGUCUGGUUAAUUCCGAUAACGAACGAGACUCUAGCCUGCUAAAUAGGCGUACCUUAUGGUUUCUUGAAGGCCCCCGGCCUCGGCCUGCGGGUUUUUACUACCAACGUACAAACAAAUCUUCUUAGAGAGACAGGCGGCUUCUAGCCGCACGAGAUUGAGCAAUAACAGGUCUGUGAUGCCCUUAGAUGUUCUGGGCCGCACGUGCGCUACACUGAAGGAAUCAGCGUGUGUUCCCUGGCCGAAAGGCCCGGGUAACCCGCUGAACCUCCUUCGUGCUAGGGAUUGGGGCUUGCAAUUGUUCCCCAUGAACGAGGAAUUCCCAGUAAGCGCGAGUCAUAAGCUCGCGUUGAUUACGUCCCCAUUGUACACACCGCCCGUCGCUACUACCGAUUGAAUGAUUUAGUGAGGUCUUCGGACUGGUGCGCGGCAAUGCGUCGGCAUUGCCGAUGUUGCCGGGAAGAUGACCAAACUUGAUCAUUUAGAGGAACUAAAAGUCGUAACAAGGUUUCCGUAGGUGAACCUGCGGAAG